UCCCAUUCUGAACACGGAAGUUAAGCCCGCCAGCGCCGAUGGUACUUGGGUCGAGAGGCCCUGGGAGAGUAGGACGCCGCCGGAU
This 85-nucleotide ribosomal RNA is filed under the name Acidimicrobiales bacterium. The record is from RNAcentral. Lineage: Bacteria; Bacillati; Actinomycetota; Acidimicrobiia; Acidimicrobiales.